This 402-nucleotide ribosomal RNA is filed under the name bacterium. RNAcentral's name for it is "partial 16S ribosomal RNA". It matches the Rfam family "Bacterial small subunit ribosomal RNA", at positions 355 to 776 of the family's 1533-position model. The record is from RNAcentral.
UGGGGAAUUUUGCACAAUGGGGGAAACCCUGAUGCAGCGACGCCGCGUGAUUUAGAAGGCCUUCGGGUUGUAAAAAUCUUUUCUAUGGGAAGAAAAUGACAGUACCAUAGGAAUAAGGACCGGCUAAUUACGUGCCAGCAGCCGCGGUAAUACGUAAGGUCCGAGCGUUGUCCGGAAUCAUUGGGCGUAAAGGGUACGUAGGCGGGUAAGCAAGUUAGAAGUGAAAUCCUAUAGCUCAACUAUAGUAAGCUUUUAAAACUGCUCAUCUUGAGGUAUGGAAGGGAAAGUGGAAUUCCUAGUGUCGCGGUGAAAUGCGCAGAUAUUAGGAGGAAUACCGGUGGCGAAGGCGACUUUCUGGCCAUAACCUGACGCUGAGGUACGAAAGCGUGGGUAGCAAACAGG